GACCCAUUAGCUCAGUUGGUUUAGAACGUCGUGCCAAUAACGCGAAGGUCACGGGUUCGAUCCCCUCAUGGGCCA
Molecule: non-coding RNA, 75 nt
Organism: Eumeta japonica
Lineage: Eukaryota; Metazoa; Arthropoda; Insecta; Lepidoptera; Psychidae
Source: the annotation of a GenBank genome assembly